RNAcentral lists this ribosomal RNA (1398 nucleotides) under Enterobacter cloacae. RNAcentral describes it as "bacterial LSU rRNA". It matches the Rfam family "Bacterial large subunit ribosomal RNA", at positions 1550 to 2925 of the family's 2925-position model. RNAcentral also lists the same sequence under 1 other name. Lineage: Bacteria; Pseudomonadati; Pseudomonadota; Gammaproteobacteria; Enterobacterales; Enterobacteriaceae. The record is from RNAcentral.
UUAACGCUGAGGUGUGAUGACGAGGCACUACGGUGCUGAAGUAACAAAUGCCCUGCUUCCAGGAAAAGCCUCUAAGCAUCAGGUAACAUCAAAUCGUACCCCAAACCGACACAGGUGGUCAGGUAGAGAAUACCAAGGCGCUUGAGAGAACUCGGGUGAAGGAACUAGGCAAAAUGGUGCCGUAACUUCGGGAGAAGGCACGCUGAUAUGUAGGUGAAGCCCCUGCGGGUGGAGCUGAAAUCAGUCGAAGAUACCAGCUGGCUGCAACUGUUUAUUAAAAACACAGCACUGUGCAAACACGAAAGUGGACGUAUACGGUGUGACGCCUGCCCGGUGCCGGAAGGUUAAUUGAUGGGGUUAGCGGCAACGCGAAGCUCUUGAUCGAAGCCCCGGUAAACGGCGGCCGUAACUAUAACGGUCCUAAGGUAGCGAAAUUCCUUGUCGGGUAAGUUCCGACCUGCACGAAUGGCGUAAUGAUGGCCAGGCUGUCUCCACCCGAGACUCAGUGAAAUUGAACUCGCUGUGAAGAUGCAGUGUACCCGCGGCAAGACGGAAAGACCCCGUGAACCUUUACUAUAGCUUGACACUGAACACUGGUCCUUGAUGUGUAGGAUAGGUGGGAGGCUUUGAAGUGUGGACGCCAGUCUGCAUGGAGCCGUCCUUGAAAUACCACCCUUUAAUGGCUGGUGUUCUAACGUAGACCCGUAAUCCGGGUUGCGGACAGUGUCUGGUGGGUAGUUUGACUGGGGCGGUCUCCUCCCAAAGAGUAACGGAGGAGCACGAAGGUUAGCUAAUCCUGGUCGGACAUCAGGAGGUUAGUGCAAUGGCAUAAGCUAGCUUGACUGCGAGAGUGACGGCUCGAGCAGGUGCGAAAGCAGGUCAUAGUGAUCCGGUGGUUCUGAAUGGAAGGGCCAUCGCUCAACGGAUAAAAGGUACUCCGGGGAUAACAGGCUGAUACCGCCCAAGAGUUCAUAUCGACGGCGGUGUUUGGCACCUCGAUGUCGGCUCAUCACAUCCUGGGGCUGAAGUAGGUCCCAAGGGUAUGGCUGUUCGCCAUUUAAAGUGGUACGCGAGCUGGGUUUAGAACGUCGUGAGACAGUUCGGUCCCUAUCUGCCGUGGGCGCUGGAGAAUUGAGGGGGGCUGCUCCUAGUACGAGAGGACCGGAGUGGACGCAUCACUGGUGUUCGGGUUGUCAUGCCAAUGGCACUGCCCGGUAGCUAAAUGCGGAAAAGAUAAGUGCUGAAAGCAUCUAAGCACGAAACUUGCCCCGAGAUGAGUUCUCCCUGAGACUUUAAGUCUCCUGAAGGAACGUUGAAGACGACGACGUUGAUAGGUCGGGUGUGUAAGCGCAGCGAUGCGUUGAGCUAACCGAUACUAAUGAACCGUGAGGCUUAACC